This 351-nucleotide long non-coding RNA is filed under the name Mytilus galloprovincialis (Mediterranean mussel). The record is from RNAcentral. Lineage: Eukaryota; Metazoa; Mollusca; Bivalvia; Mytilida; Mytilidae.
GGGUUUCGUUCAUUAUUUUGUACACAAUUUAGGCCGUUAGUUUUCUCGUUUGAAAUGCUUUACCUUUGUCAUAUUAGGCCUUAUAAAGCUACCUAUGUGGUAUUGGCUUUGUUUAUAGUUAAAGGCUUUACGGCGACCUAUAGUUGUAAUAAUUUCUGUGUCUUUUGGUCUCUGGUGGAGAGUUGUCUAAUAGGCUAUCGUACCGCAUCUUCUUUUAUAUAUAUAAUGGGAUAAAUGCAAGUUUUGUUUAUUAUUGUCUAUAAUUUUGUAAACCGGUAUAAAAAUUAGAAAGACAGGAGCAAACAUUUUACAGAUUUUUGAGCUUUACAAAUUUUCCAUAUACGCGAAAAC